CAGAACUUCACAGGCGCGUGGGGGUGAGGUGGUGCUGGAUGUGCAGGCAGGGGAAGUAUUUAGCUAGAGCCGUUUUGCUGUGUUUCUUCAUCAGUCAAUACUGUGCGCAACAAAUGGAUGGGCAGCCCGUGGCACUUCGCCCCUACAACACCGUGGGGAAAAAAAUAAGACAAAAAAUGGAGAAGAAAUGAGAAGCACGGGUGGGCAGUGAGGUGUCAGGAGACAAAUCUUUCCAGUGCAGACAAAUCCAUCUUCCCUGAAGUUUCAUCACCUCUAACACCAAUGUCACCAAGGGCGUAUUUGCACGGCUGGGUAUGCCCAGUCCCAAAGCAGGAGCGCCCGCCGCACAUCAGCAGCACUGUUCCCAUCCCACUCACACCUCGCUCCACAAGCAGCUGCGGCCUGGGGAGAGGAGAUGCUGUGCCUUGCUGCUCCUCCAGCAACUUCACAAAGUCAUUGCAAAGACACCCCUGAGAAUGCUGCUUUGCCCGGAGAUGCCGCGAUAUACAGAAAGCAGCCGAAUGGAUUUUCUGAAAGCAUUUUUCCUCCUUCUAAAGGCUCCGCUGCCAUUCUGGCAAAGUGUAUCCUUGUCAGUCAGCGGCUAACCUUGUCAAGGGGAAGAAAAGGCUGGGAAGUGACAGGUUUGACAACCUGUCGGAUGCCUGGUGCUCUGCUCUCCUCCCGAUCUGAUCGCUAUCAAACAUUAAACCACUGUUCCCCCACGCAGGAGUGCAACUCGAUGCCUGCGAGCCUCAGCCAAGGCUGAUAGCGAGCUGGGAAGCUGCCAGCAGCCCUGCUUCGCCCCUGCCUUGCGUGUCCUCCUAUGAGCUGAUCUCUGAACGUGUCACACCAGGAACGGUCCCUCAGGAGUCCCAGAUAGGUCACCGAAACCGUGAUUGGCUUUCAGGAAGACGAGAACUAGAGAUGGGUGGUGGAGCUGUAACUCUGCAAGGAGAGAUGAGGGUGACAGCUGCCCGGUUGCCAGCCUGCAGAGCCUCGCCUGCAAAUCGAACUCCGAGCUCAGAAACCCUGGAUGGACCACAAUUUCCCUCUCCCCUCCAGCAAAGCAAGCAGCCCCUCCCAUGCCACAUGUAGCAAACCCCAGCACAUUGCACAUCAUUCACUCAGUUCUUACACACCCACUCAAUGAGAUCAUCUCAACAUAAGGAAUCUCUUUCCGCGUGUUCAGAAGGGACAGAAUAUUUUAAUUCAUCUUUCUCCCCCCCCACACACAAAACCUCUGCUUUCCGGAGCAGCUUGCCUUCAAGAUUCAUGAGCAGAAGCAGCAGCACUGGCUGCACUACCCUGCUCUUGAUGCUCCUUAAUUCCACUGACGCUGCAGGAGACAACGGCUGAAUAGUCAGGAGGAAAAAGCAUCUUGCAAUCAGGAGCUUAGCUGCACUAAGUGAAGCAGGAGAUGCAGCACGUACCCAAAGAGGCCAUUAAGCCAACAGAUUCCAAGGACAGACUACAAGUAGCAAUUACGUUGUUCUUUCACAGCGCUAAUAUUAAGCUUAUGGAAAGAUGGCUCACUCUCCUCCCCGUGGGCUUGAGUCAAAACCUGCAUUUGUUUAACAUCAAUUUGUUUUCCAAAGACCUCAGCAGCAAAAGCAAGGUGCCUGCUGCGCAGCCCAGCUGCUUCAGCACAACGCCCAACAAGCAAGCGAGCUUCAGCAACAGGCAGUUUGGUGCUUUGAGUCCCAGCAGGCUUCUGAGCUCCUCACAACACUCUCCGUUCAAAUGCAAUUGCAAAUGGAAAGUAGGAAGGUGAGCAACACCCCCGCCAGAGAAUCCGUAAGCAGCACCACAUCAGUAAGAUGGGAUUUGCACAGCAUUGCCCACCAGCCCACCACCAGCAGCGCCUUGUAGCUCUGAACGGAGACAAAAACAAGCUUGUGCCAAGCUUAGAAUUCAGCCAGGGAUCUGGGGGGAGAAAAUGAAACAGUGAGAACAUUCUUCUCUUUAAAAAGCAGCAUUUCACAUCUCCUGUGUACUUCCAGGCUCGUUCCCUUGCAGCAGGCAGCUCGCCGCUCACUUCGCUUUCAGCACGUGCAGCAGCGAAGCCUCAUCAAGCACAGCAUCGCUCCUCUCCUCCCAUUAUCACUCUGUGCUGUGACUAAAGCUCCUCGUUCCCAGGUGAGCAGCUCUUACUGUGCCCCCUGAACCGCAGGGCCGGAGGGCACCGACAGAGGCAAAGGGAUUUAUUCACUGCACAGAAGCCGGGCAGCGCGAGCACGUGGCUCCCCGGGAGAAGGGGAGGGCAGGAAUCAAUGAGAAAUCAACAGUGAUUAAUGCUGUUUGACAAUCUUUUGCAUUAAUCACGUUUCCACGCUCUCGAGAAUGUGAAGUGGAAAAUCUAUAGUCAUAAAAAGCGUAAUUGGGAACGCUCUUUCUCCUCGCGCCAAGGCGACGGAAGGGGAAUCUGAAGAAAUAAUAAUUAUGAAAUGCUGAAUUUAAAUGAUACGCACAAUAGCACCUGCUCGUUGAUAGCAAACCUGCAGAGCAAACCGAGCCUGGUAUCCUCCCGCAUGCUGCAAAGGGCUGCUCUGACAACCAUCUCUUCAUCUGCUCCCUCAGCCCCACCAUUAACAACCUGAUAAAGAAUUCAUAAACACACACACACCUCGCACAAGUUAAAAUACAGCCAUAACAAAGAGUCAAUCACUCUUUCUGGAGAACAAGCUACGAGAUGCCACAGAAAGCAAUGAUGUCUUCAUUGGCUUUUACAGUAAACAUCCCUCUCGGAAAGCAGCCUUUAUGACCCAACCAAGGGCAAUAAAGAUGUCUUUGCAAAUUGAUGAGACAAAUACUUCAGAGGCAUAGUUUCCUCCAUAGCUAGCGUGAAACGGAGGGUAAUGCCAUUCUCUACAGUCACAGAGCAGAAUAAAGACCUUCAUCCUUCUUGUGACGAGCCCACACCUGGACAAAGUGAGGGUCAAGCACAGUGAGGGUGUUAAGCACACUGCCAGUACAGCUGUGUGCUGAAGCUUCACGUGGAACAGUGAGGGCCAUUCGCUGUGACAGCUUUUCACCACGAAUUGCAAAGAGUUCCAGAGCUGCACAACAAAUAACAGGAAAGGAAAGCAGAAAGAAAAUGAGGAGCAUCUGAUACACAGCAGAGCUGAUCCGAGAUCCUCCUUGUGCUAACAAGGUAUGAUGCUGACCAACCACAUUAUACAGAAAAGCCAUUUUUCAGCAAGGACCGAAUUACCAGAAGCUGAAGAAAUUAAAUUUCCACGUCUAAACUUGUAGUCUUAAAAUCGAGUUUUAUCCAAGCUCUUCUGCUAGCAUCAAAACCAGAUACCUUUGAUACAUCUGUAGACAGAAGCACACCAGUGC
This 3339-nucleotide long non-coding RNA is filed under the name Gallus gallus (chicken). RNAcentral's name for it is "long non-coding RNA NONGGAT006638". Lineage: Eukaryota; Metazoa; Chordata; Aves; Galliformes; Phasianidae. The record is from RNAcentral.